GAAGGUCCCCCACAUUGGAACUGAGACACGGUCCAAACUCCUACGGGAGGCAGCUAGUGAGGAAUAUUGGUCAAUGGGCGAGAGCCUGAACCAGCCAAGUAGCGUGAAGGAUGACUGCCCUAUGGGUUGUAAACUUCUUUUAUAAAGGAAUAAAGUCGGGUAUGGAUACCCACAUUUGCAUGUACUUUAUGAAUAAGGAUCGGCUAACU
This 209-nucleotide ribosomal RNA is filed under the name uncultured Bacteroidales bacterium. Its description in RNAcentral is "partial 16S ribosomal RNA". It matches the Rfam family "Bacterial small subunit ribosomal RNA", at positions 299 to 502 of the family's 1533-position model. Lineage: Bacteria; Pseudomonadati; Bacteroidota; Bacteroidia; Bacteroidales. The record is from RNAcentral.